GUGGGGAAUAUUGCGCAAUGGCCGCAAGGCUGACGCAGCGACGCCGCGUGUGGGAUGAAGCCCUUCGGGGUGUAAACCACUGUUGCUCGGGAAGAAUUCACGGGGUUUCCCCGUGUUGACGGUACCGAGUGAGGAAGCACCGGCUAACUCCGUGCCAGCAGCCGCGGUAAUACGGAGGGUGCGAGCGUUGUCCGGAAUCACUGGGCGUAAAGGGCGCGUAGGUGGCUUGGCGCGCGUGCGGUGAAAGCCCGGGGCUUAACCCCGGGUCUGCCGUGCGGACGGCCAGGCUAGGGCACUGUAGAGGCAGGUAGAAUUCCGGGUGUAGCGGUGGAAUGCGUAGAGAUCCGGAAGAAUACCGGUGGCGAAGGCGGCCUGCUGGGCAGUUGCCGACACUGAGGCGCGACAGCGUGGGGAGCAAACAGGAUUAGAAACCCGUGUAGUCC
Molecule: ribosomal RNA, 443 nt
Filed under: uncultured bacterium
Lineage: Bacteria
Description: bacterial SSU rRNA
Rfam family: Bacterial small subunit ribosomal RNA
Source: RNAcentral